Molecule: ribosomal RNA, 2855 nt
Filed under: Staphylococcus aureus
Lineage: Bacteria; Bacillati; Bacillota; Bacilli; Caryophanales; Staphylococcaceae
Description: 23S ribosomal RNA
Rfam family: Bacterial large subunit ribosomal RNA
Source: RNAcentral
AGAUUAAGUUAUUAAGGGCGCACGGUGGAUGCCUUGGCACUAGAAGCCGAUGAAGGACGUUACUAACGACGAUAUGCUUUGGGGAGCUGUAAGUAAGCUUUGAUCCAGAGAUUUCCGAAUGGGGAAACCCAGCAUGAGUUAUGUCAUGUUAUCGAUAUGUGAAUACAUAGCAUAUCAGAAGGCACACCCGGAGAACUGAAACAUCUUAGUACCCGGAGGAAGAGAAAGAAAAUUCGAUUCCCUUAGUAGCGGCGAGCGAAACGGGAAGAGCCCAAACCAACAAGCUUGCUUGUUGGGGUUGUAGGACACUCUAUACGGAGUUACAAAGGACGACAUUAGACGAAUCAUCUGGAAAGAUGAAUCAAAGAAGGUAAUAAUCCUGUAGUCGAAAAUGUUGUCUCUCUUGAGUGGAUCCUGAGUACGACGGAGCACGUGAAAUUCCGUCGGAAUCUGGGAGGACCAUCUCCUAAGGCUAAAUACUCUCUAGUGACCGAUAGUGAACCAGUACCGUGAGGGAAAGGUGAAAAGCACCCCGGAAGGGGAGUGAAAUAGAACCUGAAACCGUGUGCUUACAAGUAGUCAGAGCCCGUUAAUGGGUGAUGGCGUGCCUUUUGUAGAAUGAACCGGCGAGUUACGAUUUGAUGCAAGGUUAAGCAGUAAAUGUGGAGCCGUAGCGAAAGCGAGUCUGAAUAGGGCGUUUAGUAUUUGGUCGUAGACCCGAAACCAGGUGAUCUACCCUUGGUCAGGUUGAAGUUCAGGUAACACUGAAUGGAGGACCGAACCGACUUACGUUGAAAAGUGAGCGGAUGAACUGAGGGUAGCGGAGAAAUUCCAAUCGAACCUGGAGAUAGCUGGUUCUCUCCGAAAUAGCUUUAGGGCUAGCCUCAAGUGAUGAUUAUUGGAGGUAGAGCACUGUUUGGACGAGGGGCCCCUCUCGGGUUACCGAAUUCAGACAAACUCCGAAUGCCAAUUAAUUUAACUUGGGAGUCAGAACAUGGGUGAUAAGGUCCGUGUUCGAAAGGGAAACAGCCCAGACCACCAGCUAAGGUCCCAAAAUAUAUGUUAAGUGGAAAAGGAUGUGGCGUUGCCCAGACAACUAGGAUGUUGGCUUAGAAGCAGCCAUCAUUUAAAGAGUGCGUAAUAGCUCACUAGUCGAGUGACACUGCGCCGAAAAUGUACCGGGGCUAAACAUAUUACCGAAGCUGUGGAUUGUCCUUUGGACAAUGGUAGGAGAGCGUUCUAAGGGCGUUGAAGCAUGAUCGUAAGGACAUGUGGAGCGCUUAGAAGUGAGAAUGCCGGUGUGAGUAGCGAAAGACGGGUGAGAAUCCCGUCCACCGAUUGACUAAGGUUUCCAGAGGAAGGCUCGUCCGCUCUGGGUUAGUCGGGUCCUAAGCUGAGGCCGACAGGCGUAGGCGAUGGAUAACAGGUUGAUAUUCCUGUACCACCUAUAAUCGUUUUAAUCGAUGGGGGGACGCAGUAGGAUAGGCGAAGCGUGCGAUUGGAUUGCACGUCUAAGCAGUAAGGCUGAGUAUUAGGCAAAUCCGGUACUCGUUAAGGCUGAGCUGUGAUGGGGAGAAGACAUUGUGUCUUCGAGUCGUUGAUUUCACACUGCCGAGAAAAGCCUCUAGAUAGAAAAUAGGUGCCCGUACCGCAAACCGACACAGGUAGUCAAGAUGAGAAUUCUAAGGUGAGCGAGCGAACUCUCGUUAAGGAACUCGGCAAAAUGACCCCGUAACUUCGGGAGAAGGGGUGCUCUUUAGGGUUAACGCCCAGAAGAGCCGCAGUGAAUAGGCCCAAGCGACUGUUUAUCAAAAACACAGGUCUCUGCUAAACCGUAAGGUGAUGUAUAGGGGCUGACGCCUGCCCGGUGCUGGAAGGUUAAGAGGAGUGGUUAGCUUCUGCGAAGCUACGAAUCGAAGCCCCAGUAAACGGCGGCCGUAACUAUAACGGUCCUAAGGUAGCGAAAUUCCUUGUCGGGUAAGUUCCGACCCGCACGAAAGGCGUAACGAUUUGGGCACUGUCUCAACGAGAGACUCGGUGAAAUCAUAGUACCUGUGAAGAUGCAGGUUACCCGCGACAGGACGGAAAGACCCCGUGGAGCUUUACUGUAGCCUGAUAUUGAAAUUCGGCACAGCUUGUACAGGAUAGGUAGGAGCCUUUGAAACGUGAGCGCUAGCUUACGUGGAGGCGCUGGUGGGAUACUACCCUAGCUGUGUUGGCUUUCUAACCCGCACCACUUAUCGUGGUGGGAGACAGUGUCAGGCGGGCAGUUUGACUGGGGCGGUCGCCUCCUAAAAGGUAACGGAGGCGCUCAAAGGUUCCCUCAGAAUGGUUGGAAAUCAUUCAUAGAGUGUAAAGGCAUAAGGGAGCUUGACUGCGAGACCUACAAGUCGAGCAGGGUCGAAAGACGGACUUAGUGAUCCGGUGGUUCCGCAUGGAAGGGCCAUCGCUCAACGGAUAAAAGCUACCCCGGGGAUAACAGGCUUAUCUCCCCCAAGAGUUCACAUCGACGGGGAGGUUUGGCACCUCGAUGUCGGCUCAUCGCAUCCUGGGGCUGUAGUCGGUCCCAAGGGUUGGGCUGUUCGCCCAUUAAAGCGGUACGCGAGCUGGGUUCAGAACGUCGUGAGACAGUUCGGUCCCUAUCCGUCGUGGGCGUAGGAAAUUUGAGAGGAGCUGUCCUUAGUACGAGAGGACCGGGAUGGACAUACCUCUGGUGUACCAGUUGUCGUGCCAACGGCAUAGCUGGGUAGCUAUGUGUGGACGGGAUAAGUGCUGAAAGCAUCUAAGCAUGAAGCCCCCCUCAAGAUGAGAUUUCCCAACUUCGGUUAUAAGAUCCCUCAAAGAUGAUGAGGCUG